GGUUAAGCGACUAAGCGUACACGGUGGAUGCCCUGGCAGUCAGAGGCGAUGAAGGACGUGCUAAUCUGCGAAAAGCGUCGGUAAGGUGAUAUGAACCGUUAUAACCGGCGAUGUCCGAAUGGGGAAACCCAGUGCAAUUCGUUGCACUAUCGUUAACUGAAUACAUAGGUUAACGAGGCGAACCGGGGGAACUGAAACAUCUAAGUACCCCGAGGAAAAGAAAUCAACCGAGAUUCCCCCAGUAGCGGCGAGCGAACGGGGAGCAGCCCAGAGUCUGAAUCAGCUUGUGUGUUAGUGGAACGGUCUGGAAAGUCCGACGGUACAGGGUGAUAGUCCCGUACACCAAAAUGCACAGGUUGUGAACUCGAAGAGUAGGGCGGGACACGUGGUAUCCUGUCUGAAUAUGGGGGGACCAUCCUCCAAGGCUAAAUACUCCUGACUGACCGAUAGUGAACCAGUACCGUGAGGGAAAGGCGAAAAGAACCCCGGCGAGGGGAGUGAAAAAGAACCUGAAACCGUGUACGUACAAGCAGUGGGAGCACCUUCGGGUGUGACUGCGUACCUUUUGUAUAAUGGGUCAGCGACUUAUAUUCUGUAGCAAGGUUAACCGUAUAGGGGAGCCGCAGGGAAACCGAGUCUUAACUGGGCGUUAAGUUGCAGGGUAUAGACCCGAAACCCGGUGAUCUAGCCAUGGGCAGGUUGAAGGUUGGGUAACACUAACUGGAGGACCGAACCGACUAAUGUUGAAAAAUUAGCGGAUGACUUGUGGCUGGGGGUGAAAGGCCAAUCAAACCGGGAGAUAGCUGGUUCUCCCCGAAAGCUAUUUAGGUAGCGCCUCGUGAAUUCAUCUUCGGGGGUAGAGCACUGUUUCGGCUAGGGGGUCAUCCCGACUUACCAACCCGAUGCAAACUACGAAUACCGAAGAAUGUUAUCACGGGAGACACACGGCGGGUGCUAACGUCCGUCGUGAAGAGGGAAACAACCCAGACCGCCAGCUAAGGUCCCAAAGUCAUGGUUAAGUGGGAAACGAUGUGGGAAGGCACAGACAGCCAGGAUGUUGGCUUAGAAGCAGCCAUCAUUUAAAGAAAGCGUAAUAGCUCACUGGUCGAGUCGGCCUGCGCGGAAGAUGUAACGGGGCUAAACCAUGCACCGAAGCUGCGGCAGCGACACUAUGUGUUGUUGGGUAGGGGAGCGUUCUGUAAGCCUGUGAAGGUGACCUGUGAGGGUUGCUGGAGGUAUCAGAAGUGCGAAUGCUGACAUAAGUAACGAUAAAGCGGGUGAAAAGCCCGCUCGCCGGAAGACCAAGGGUUCCUGUCCAACGUUAAUCGGGGCAGGGUGAGUCGACCCCUAAGGCGAGGCCGAAAGGCGUAGUCGAUGGGAAACAGGUUAAUAUUCCUGUACUUGGUGUUACUGCGAAGGGGGGACGGAGAAGGCUAUGUUAGCCGGGCGACGGUUGUCCCGGUUUAAGCAUGUAGGCUGGUUAUCCAGGCAAAUCCGGAUAAUCAAGGCUGAGGUGUGAUGACGAGGCACUACGGUGCUGAAGUAACAAAUGCCCUGCUUCCAGGAAAAGCCUCUAAGCAUCAGGUAACAUCAAAUCGUACCCCAAACCGACACAGGUGGUCAGGUAGAGAAUACCAAGGCGCUUGAGAGAACUCGGGUGAAGGAACUAGGCAAAAUGGUGCCGUAACUUCGGGAGAAGGCACGCUGGUGUGUAGGUGAAGCCCCUGCGGGUGGAGCUGAGACCAGUCGAAGAUACCAGCUGGCUGCAACUGUUUAUUAAAAACACAGCACUGUGCAAACACGAAAGUGGACGUAUACGGUGUGACGCCUGCCCGGUGCCGGAAGGUUAAUUGAUGGGGUUAUCCGUAAGGAGAAGCUCUUGAUCGAAGCCCCGGUAAACGGCGGCCGUAACUAUAACGGUCCUAAGGUAGCGAAAUUCCUUGUCGGGUAAGUUCCGACCUGCACGAAUGGCGUAAUGAUGGCCAGGCUGUCUCCACCCGAGACUCAGUGAAAUUGAACUCGCUGUGAAGAUGCAGUGUACCCGCGGCAAGACGGAAAGACCCCGUGAACCUUUACUAUAGCUUGACACUGAACAUUGAGCCUUGAUGUGUAGGAUAGGUGGGAGGCUUUGAAGCGUGGACGCCAGUCUGCGUGGAGCCAACCUUGAAAUACCACCCUUUAAUGUUUGAUGUUCUAACGUUGGCCCCUGACCGGGGUUGCGGACAGUGUCUGGUGGGUAGUUUGACUGGGGCGGUCUCCUCCCAAAGCGUAACGGAGGAGCACGAAGGUUAGCUAAUCCUGGUCGGACAUCAGGAGGUUAGUGCAAUGGCAUAAGCUAGCUUGACUGCGAGCGUGACGGCGCGAGCAGGUGCGAAAGCAGGUCAUAGUGAUCCGGUGGUUCUGAAUGGAAGGGCCAUCGCUCAACGGAUAAAAGGUACUCCGGGGAUAACAGGCUGAUACCGCCCAAGAGUUCAUAUCGACGGCGGUGUUUGGCACCUCGAUGUCGGCUCAUCACAUCCUGGGGCUGAAGUAGGUCCCAAGGGUAUGGCUGUUCGCCAUUUAAAGUGGUACGCGAGCUGGGUUUAGAACGUCGUGAGACAGUUCGGUCCCUAUCUGCCGUGGGCGCUGGAGAAUUGAGGGGGGCUGCUCCUAGUACGAGAGGACCGGAGUGGACGCAUCACUGGUGUUCGGGUUGUCAUGCCAAUGGCACUGCCCGGUAGCUAAAUGCGGAAGAGAUAAGUGCUGAAAGCAUCUAAGCACGAAACUUGCCCCGAGAUGAGUUCUCCCUGAGACUUUAAGUCUCCUGAAGGAACGUUAAAGACGAUGACGUUGAUAGGCCGGGUGUGUAAGCGCAGCGAUGCGUUGAGCUAACCGGUACUAAUGAACCGUGAGGCUUAACCUU
This 2902-nucleotide ribosomal RNA is filed under the name Klebsiella pneumoniae. RNAcentral's name for it is "23S ribosomal RNA". It matches the Rfam family "Bacterial large subunit ribosomal RNA". Lineage: Bacteria; Pseudomonadati; Pseudomonadota; Gammaproteobacteria; Enterobacterales; Enterobacteriaceae. The record is from RNAcentral.